GCCAAGAGAAUAGGGUACUUGAUCUAAAGAAAGCACAAAACAUCGCAAUUUUGCUGAGGGCCAUAAAUGUAACCACAGAGGAAAUAUGUGAAGCCCUUUUAGAAGGAAUGCUGAAACUAUUGGGAGUGAGCUCCUUGAGAUUUUAUUGAAGAUGGCUCCAUCAAAAGAGGAAGAACGUAAGCUAAAAGAAUACAAAGAUGAUUCUCCAGUCAAGCUCGGGCCAGCAGAGAAGUUUCUGAAA
RNAcentral lists this unclassified non-coding RNA (241 nucleotides) under Hevea brasiliensis (rubber tree). The record is from RNAcentral. Lineage: Eukaryota; Viridiplantae; Streptophyta; Magnoliopsida; Malpighiales; Euphorbiaceae.